This 371-nucleotide ribosomal RNA is filed under the name uncultured organism. Its description in RNAcentral is "partial 16S ribosomal RNA". It matches the Rfam family "Bacterial small subunit ribosomal RNA", at positions 527 to 896 of the family's 1533-position model. The record is from RNAcentral.
GUAGGUGGCAAGCGUUGUCCGGAAUUAUUGGGCGUAAAGCGCGCGCAGGCGGUUCUUUAAGUCUGAUGUGAAAGCCCACGGCUCAACCGUGGAGGGUCAUUGGAAACUGGAGAACUUGAGUACAGAAGAGGAAAGCGGAAUUCCACGUGUAGCGGUGAAAUGCGUAGAGAUGUGGAGGAACACCAGUGGCGAAGGCGGCUUUCUGGUCUGUAACUGACGCUGAUGCGCGAAAGCGUGGGGGAGCAAACAGGAUUAGAUACCCUGGUAGUCCACGCCGUAAACGAUGAGUGCUAAGUGUUAGGGGGUUUCCGCCCCUUAGCGCUGCAGCUAACGCAUUAAGCACUCCGCCUGGGAGUACGGCCGCAAGGCUG